RNAcentral lists this ribosomal RNA (139 nucleotides) under uncultured bacterium. Its description in RNAcentral is "partial 16S ribosomal RNA". It matches the Rfam family "Bacterial small subunit ribosomal RNA", at positions 355 to 511 of the family's 1533-position model. The record is from RNAcentral.
UAGGGAAUCUUCGGCAAUGGACGAAAGUCUGACCGAGCAACGCCGCGUGUGUGAAGAAGGUCUUCGGAUUGUAAAGCACUUUCGACGGGGACGAUGAUGACGGUACCCGUAGAAGAAGCCCCGGCUAACCUCGUGCCAU